This 505-nucleotide ribosomal RNA is filed under the name uncultured bacterium. RNAcentral describes it as "bacterial SSU rRNA". It matches the Rfam family "Bacterial small subunit ribosomal RNA", at positions 28 to 518 of the family's 1533-position model. The record is from RNAcentral.
GAUGAACGCUAGCGGCAGGCCUAAUACAUGCAAGUCGGACGGUAUAGAUUCUUUCGGGGAUCUAGAGAGUGGCGCACGGGUGCGUAACGCGUAUGCAACCUACCUUAUACUGUGGGAUAGCCCGGGGAAACCCGGAUUAAUACCGCAUGGUACCAUCAGAUGGCAUCUGAAGAUGGUUAAAGCCCCGACAUCUGUCGGGGCGGUAUAAGAUGGGCAUGCGUAGGAUUAGCUGGUUGGCGGGGUAACGGCCCACCAAGGCGACGAUCCUUAGGGGUUCUGAGAGGAAGGUCCCCCACACUGGCACUGAGAUACGGGCCAGACUCCUACGGGAGGCAGCAGUGAGGAAUAUUGGUCAAUGGACGCAAGUCUGAACCAGCCACGUCGCGUGAAGGAAGACGGCCCUACGGGUUGUAAACUUCUUUUAUACGGGAAUAAAGUGCCCCAACGCGUGGGUUUUGCAUGUACCGUAUGAAUAAGGAUCGGCUAACUCCGUGCCAGCAGCCGC